Molecule: long non-coding RNA, 1708 nt
Filed under: Sus scrofa (pig)
Lineage: Eukaryota; Metazoa; Chordata; Mammalia; Artiodactyla; Suidae
Description: lncRNA (ENSSSCG00055003187.1)
Source: RNAcentral
AAGUAAUCUUUUCUUUGGGAAGAAGCUUCCCAGAGUCUUAUCUUAGUGACGAUGCUCACCUAGGAAGCAGGGAUUAGUAGAGGGCAUUGGACUUGAACUCAGAAGUCCAUGACCUCUAGCAGUCCAGCAACCUCUAGGGCCACAGAGCCUUAAGGAUUCAGCCUUCUCUAACUCCUGGUUUGUUUCAUAUUCUCCCCUCCAUUUGCUCCCAUCUCCCCCUGAUAGUCCUUUUUCAUAUCCUAUUUCCUUUGUCUUCUUCCCCAUUUCCCCAGGAAUACAAGAACUCCUUGAGAAAUGAGGUCACAACCCACUGAAUGUUGAAUCACCUAAUACAGCGUCUGCCUGUGUGUAGUGCUCAGUAAGUACCUAUGCAGUCGAGGAAAAAAGCCGCAGACAAUGAUUAGGUACACAUUUAUUGGCAAUAGCCUUUUCUUACUACUGCUGUAGAGAUUGAGAUCUCCUAGCACAGUGGCUGGUGUGCAGUAAGCAGUCAUUUAGUGGUAGCUGCUUUAACAACAACGAUUAUUUCCACUACCAUUAUUAUUAACCAUUUAUCAUAUGCUGCUUAAUCACCACCUGAAAGAAAACACUUAUGGAAUUCCCAAUCACACCAUCACUAAGUGGCAGAAUUCACACCUAAGACCAUUUGCCACCAAAGCUCAUGCUCUUAGUUCUGCAUCAUUCUGAUUUAUUUGUCAGGUCACUGCCAACUCAAUCAGUCCGUAGAUGGCCCUACAAAGAGCCAAAGGUUCUCAUUUAUGGAUGGUUAUCCUCACCAGCAGGAUGUCAGAGUCUAGAGGCAAGACACCUGGCACCUUCCACGAAUGAAAGGAUGAGGCUUCAAAUGGUUCCAGGCUGCUUACACUCAAUUUAAUCCCUGAGCGAACAGAAAGAAACAAAUAGCAGUCACUAGAAUGCAUGCGGUUGAAAUAAAUGUAUAUUUUGCUUGAGUUAGCAUUUUCUCCCCCAAAUGCUGUAGUGUCAGUUUACUGUACAUGUACUUUUCUCUUUAGAUUUAGUCUAAUCAUGACUAUAUUAAAUCACAUGGAGGCCACUAGUCCAGCAGUGUAGGUUUAGAUUAAAUGUUAAAAUACCACCAGAUUGGGACAAUUUCCUUUUCCUUCAUCUGCUUUUGAACUUCCCUUUUCCUAAGGAGCUGUGAAAGGCAGCUGUCAGGAAAGCUAAGGGUGUGGGUGGACUGGCUAGGCAAAGGGUGCAGAAAGGGAUAAUCAGUCUAUCAGCUCUGCCUACUUCACUAAUUUGGUGACCUCAGACCAGCCAUUGCUUCUCUCUAAGCUUCUGUGUGUCCAGCCAUACCUGAGAAAACUAGUGCCCAGAUGCAGUGAGUUGGGAGUUCACAUUUGCAAAGUAUACUGAAAACCCACAUAAGAGUUAAUAAAAAGGAUUUUAUUACACACACAAAUCUCCAUAUUGUUACAGCCCCUAUUAAGAAGAUAUCAAGACGGGGAGUUCCAUUGUGGUUCAGUGGUUAACGAAUCCCACUAGGAAUCAUGAGGUUGCGGGUUCAAUCCCUGGCCUCGCUCAGAGGGUUAAGGAUCCAGCGUUGCCGUGAGCUGUGGUGUAGGUUUCAGAUGUGGCUUGGAUCUGGCAUUGAGUGGCUGUGGCGUAGGCCAGUGGCUACAGCUCUGAUUUGACCCCUAGCCUGGGAACCUCCAUAUGCUGCAAGUGCAGCCCUAAAAAGACAAAA